GCGGGGAUUCCUCCCCCCACCUCCCUACCCCUGUCUGAGACUGCACCGAGAAAAUCCUUUCGCUCGUGGAAAGCAGAGUUCUCUUUUCUCUCAUGACUACCAGUGGUAUUUCACUCCACCAUCUUUUUGAUUACAUGGCUUAAUUAGAAGUUCACUGUAAUUCUUAUCCUGAUCCUGUAUAGUCUUUCACUCAAUUCAUCCUGUCUCAGAGAAAUGGCACUCCCAGCUACUACUCAAUUCCAGCUAGGAGCUACCGGACAAUAUUGGCACACAAAGAAGAAUGAUAGACCAUUUUGAUUGGGACAGUGGGCAAAUCCACAUCCAACGAGGUGAGAAGAGUACCAAACAACCUACAGUCCCAUAAAUGAGAAGAUGCAGGAGCAACAACAUCUUAUAAUGACAAAGGUACAUGAGAGAAACUAUCAAGACAUCUACCACAAGGAGUGCUCAGGGUUGGGGCAUUUGAUUCAUGGAAGCUUAAAAGAGAACUUCCACCUGACACACCUGGCAUUUAGAGAAGGAAUGGUUAGGCCCAGUCCAAAUGCACAUAUAGCAUUCAAUAGUAAAACAGUUUUAUGUA
Molecule: non-coding RNA, 580 nt
Organism: Microcebus murinus (gray mouse lemur)
Lineage: Eukaryota; Metazoa; Chordata; Mammalia; Primates; Cheirogaleidae
Source: RefSeq, a predicted model, not a curated record